CAAAGAGUAGUUUAAUCUAAAAAUGCCGGCUUUGGGGGUCGGAGAUGGGUACACCCUUUUUGA
This 63-nucleotide transfer RNA is filed under the name Hebius vibakari ruthveni. Its description in RNAcentral is "tRNA-Pro". The record is from RNAcentral. Lineage: Eukaryota; Metazoa; Chordata; Lepidosauria; Squamata; Natricidae.